CUGCAGUUCUCCCGUGGGCCCACCAGAAGUCUUGCAAAUGCUCCCUAAGGAGUAAGCCUGCAAAAACUUUCAAAAAAUUCUUGUGAUGCAAGGGGGUACGUAGGGGAUUACAGUGUCAUUGUCACGAUCAUUGUUUUAAAACAUCUGCCGUGGAGGCUUUCUGCAUUAGAGAGAGACAUUCAGGAAACCCGAGGGGUGCGCUGUGCCAAACAGGUUGUGAGUCAGAGCUCCUCUUGGGGGGCCGGAGGGGGGGGGCGCCUUCUCCUGCUUCCUUUCCCAUUCAGCCAGAGCAUCAUGAAACAUUGAUUAAACCCCUACAAUGGGCCUAGCCCUGUUGUGGGGGCCAGGUCGGUUUCUGGGGGUGCAUGGGCUGGGAGCACAAGUGUCCUGGUCCCGGAGUGUGGCGAGCUUCCGGAGACUUUGAUCAACUCCAUCUCCUUUCUGAGUUCCAGUGUCCCCCAUGCCGAAGGUCCUGAUGCCAUCCUAGCCUCCGUUGGACUCUGGAAUGCUUUUGGGAGCUGCCUAGCACGGCUCCUGCUCUGGGUUUUGGACCUUGAAAAACACCUGAUACAUAAAAACCUGGCACUCAGUCAAUGCCAACCGAAUGGGUGAGCCAUUCAAUCCGGUCUCCUGUUUCUUUAGCAAUUUCCCCAACAAUUUAUAAACAUAUUAUUAAAGCAGCAAAAUGUCUCUGGUUCUUCUCCCAUGUGAAUGUCAUCAGCCUAAUUUGAUUCUUUGCAGUUAUUUGAGAAGAGCCCUCCCGGCCUUUGAAAGUAAGGAGCAGGAUAUAUGGAAUAGAUCCCUCACAUGUGGCAAAUCUGGAUAAUACAGAUAUUGGCUUCCAAGAUGGGGAAACUGAGGGAGAAGAGGAGAAGGAACUUCAUAUCGCAGAGAUCGGCAUCCAGUUUGGUUGCUCUGGAACAAACAAGAGAAGAGUGCUUCUGAGUACAUAGAUCCUCCUUUGGAUGCAUAAUAAGGAUCUCAUGAGGCAUCCAGAAUGGAAACAACUGUCCAAGCCACCGCAGGAAGCUUACACCCCACGUUCCCAGGCAGAAGUGUGGAUGUUUCCAAACCUAACAGUCUUGGUCCUGGUAAUGCAGUUCACUAAUGAAAUUUCCAUCAUGUUUCUGCUGUCUCAGCGUUUUUACUCAUACUAAGACUUACAAGGCCUCAGCUGCACUUCCCACAUAGCUGAGGGGUAUUAGAGGCUGCAUCACAGUGUGCUGUGGGGCUGGGGAGAGUAGGCUGGGCCAGGACGGGCAGGACAUUAGCAUUAUGGGUUAAUUAAGAUAUGGCGAAUUAAUUGAGGAAUCAUUUUUCUGUAUUAUAAGUACAAUGAUGCAUAGCCAAUGCAAACAUUGCCACAACAUAGAAAUAUACAGACUUCAAAGGAAAAGGUCAGGACACACACAUAAGUGUACACAAUCCCUGCUAUUCCCCAGAGGUAACCACAGUUAACUGUUUGUGGUAUCCUUCCAGAACUUCUGCUAUGCAUUUGCAUACAAAUACAUAUACAGAUGUGUUCAUGUUAAAAAAAAAAACGUAUAAAUGUGGUUGUUUUAUACGUAAUGUUCUGUAACUUGCUUUUUUUGAUUUAACAAGUUGAUUUUUUUUGUCUUAGCACAAAAU
Molecule: long non-coding RNA, 1629 nt
Organism: Vulpes vulpes (red fox)
Lineage: Eukaryota; Metazoa; Chordata; Mammalia; Carnivora; Canidae
Source: Ensembl